Molecule: ribosomal RNA, 465 nt
Filed under: uncultured bacterium
Lineage: Bacteria
Description: partial 16S ribosomal RNA
Rfam family: Bacterial small subunit ribosomal RNA
Source: RNAcentral
GACGAACGCUGGCGGCGUGCUUAACACAUGCAAGUCGUACGGUAAGGCCCUUUCGGGGGUACACGAGUGGCGAACGGGUGAGUAACACGUGAGUAACCUGCCCACAACUUUGGGAUAACGCUAGGAAACUGGUGCUAAUACUGGAUAUGUGCUCCUGCUGCAUGGUGGGGGUUGGAAAGCUCCGGCGGUUGUGGAUGGACUCGCGGCCUAUCAGCUUGUUGGUGGGGUAGUGGCCUACCAAGGCGGCGACGGGUAGCCGGCCUGAGAGGGUGACCGGCCACAUUGGGACUGAGAUACGGCCCAGACUCCUACGGGAGGCAGCAGUGGGGAAUAUUGCACAAUGGGCGCCAGCCUGAUGCAGCACCGCCGCGUGCGGGAUGACGGCCUUCGGGUUGUAAACCGCUUUCAGCAGGGACGAAGCUUUUUGUGACGGUACCUGCAGAAGAAGCACCGGCUAACUACGUG